GACGUAGGGCGCGAGCGUUGUCCGGAUUUAUUGGGCGUAAAGAGCUCGUAGGCGGCUCGUUGCGUCGGCUGUGAAAACCCACAGCUUAACUGUGGGCCUGCAGCCGAUACGGGCGAGCUAGAGUUCGGUAGGGGAGACUGGAAUUCCUGGUGUAGCGGUGGAAUGCACAGAUAUCAGGAGGAACACCGGUGGCGAAGGCGGGUCUCUGGGCAGUAACUGACGCUGAGGAGCGAAAGCGUGGGGAGCGAACAGG
RNAcentral lists this ribosomal RNA (253 nucleotides) under uncultured bacterium. RNAcentral's name for it is "partial 16S ribosomal RNA". It matches the Rfam family "Bacterial small subunit ribosomal RNA", at positions 524 to 776 of the family's 1533-position model. The record is from RNAcentral.